This 1138-nucleotide ribosomal RNA is filed under the name Acinetobacter baumannii. Its description in RNAcentral is "bacterial SSU rRNA". It matches the Rfam family "Bacterial small subunit ribosomal RNA", at positions 11 to 1144 of the family's 1533-position model. The record is from RNAcentral. Lineage: Bacteria; Pseudomonadati; Pseudomonadota; Gammaproteobacteria; Moraxellales; Moraxellaceae.
GUUUGAUCAUGGCUCAGAUUGAACGCUGGCGGCAGGCUUAACACAUGCAAGUCGAGCGGGGGAAGGUAGCUUGCUACUGGACCUAGCGGCGGACGGGUGAGUAAUGCUUAGGAAUCUGCCUAUUAGUGGGGGACAACAUCUCGAAAGGGAUGCUAAUACCGCAUACGUCCUACGGGAGAAAGCAGGGGAUCUUCGGACCUUGCGCUAAUAGAUGAGCCUAAGUCGGAUUAGCUAGUUGGUGGGGUAAAGGCCUACCAAGGCGACGAUCUGUAGCGGGUCUGAGAGGAUGAUCCGCCACACUGGGACUGAGACACGGCCCAGACUCCUACGGGAGGCAGCAGUGGGGAAUAUUGGACAAUGGGGGGAACCCUGAUCCAGCCAUGCCGCGUGUGUGAAGAAGGCCUUAUGGUUGUAAAGCACUUUAAGCGAGGAGGAGGCUACUUUAGUUAAUACCUAGAGAUAGUGGACGUUACUCGCAGAAUAAGCACCGGCUAACUCUGUGCCAGCAGCCGCGGUAAUACAGAGGGUGCGAGCGUUAAUCGGAUUUACUGGGCGUAAAGCGUGCGUAGGCGGCUUAUUAAGUCGGAUGUGAAAUCCCCGAGCUUAACUUGGGAAUUGCAUUCGAUACUGGUGAGCUAGAGUAUGGGAGAGGAUGGUAGAAUUCCAGGUGUAGCGGUGAAAUGCGUAGAGAUCUGGAGGAAUACCGAUGGCGAAGGCAGCCAUCUGGCCUAAUACUGACGCUGAGGUACGAAAGCAUGGGGAGCAAACAGGAUUAGAUACCCUGGUAGUCCAUGCCGUAAACGAUGUCUACUAGCCGUUGGGGCCUUUGAGGCUUUAGUGGCGCAGCUAACGCGAUAAGUAGACCGCCUGGGGAGUACGGUCGCAAGACUAAAACUCAAAUGAAUUGACGGGGGCCCGCACAAGCGGUGGAGCAUGUGGUUUAAUUCGAUGCAACGCGAAGAACCUUACCUGGCCUUGACAUACUAGAAACUUUCCAGAGAUGGAUUGGUGCCUUCGGGAAUCUAGAUACAGGUGCUGCAUGGCUGUCGUCAGCUCGUGUCGUGAGAUGUUGGGUUAAGUCCCGCAACGAGCGCAACCCUUUUCCUUACUUGCCAGCAUUUCGGAUGGGAACUUUAAG